This 590-nucleotide ribosomal RNA is filed under the name uncultured marine bacterium. RNAcentral's name for it is "bacterial SSU rRNA". It matches the Rfam family "Bacterial small subunit ribosomal RNA", at positions 56 to 692 of the family's 1533-position model. The record is from RNAcentral.
UGCAAGUCGAGCGCAGUAGCAAUACUGAGUGGCAAACGGGUGAGUAUAAUGUGGGUAUCUGCCUUUUGGUUUGGAAUAACACGGGGAAACUUGUGCUAAUACCGAAUAAGCCCUUACGGGGAAAGUUUUAAUGCCGAAAGAUGAGCCCGCACUUGAUUAGCUAGUUGGUAAGGUAAAAGCUUACCAAGGCAACGAUCAAUAGCUGUUCUUAGAGGAAGACCAGCCACAUUGGGACUGAGACACGGCCCAGACUCCUACGGGAGGCAGCAGUGGGGAAUCUUGCACAAUGGGGGAAACCCUGAUGCAGCGAUGCCGCGUGAGUGAAGAAGGCCCUUGGGUUGUAAAACUCUUUCGUCGGGGAAGAAAAUGACUGUACCCGAAUAAGAAGGUCCGGCUAACUUCGUGCCAGCAGCCGCGGUAAUACGAAGGGACCUAGCGUAGUUCGGAAUUACUGGGCUUAAAGAGCUCGUAGGUGGUUAAAAAAGUUGAUGGUGAAAUCCCAAGGCUUAACCUUGGAACUGCCAUCAAAACUUUUUAGCUAGAGUGUGAUAGAGGUAAGUGGAAUUUCUAGUGUAGAGGUGAAAUUCGUA